This 253-nucleotide ribosomal RNA is filed under the name uncultured bacterium. Its description in RNAcentral is "partial 16S ribosomal RNA". It matches the Rfam family "Bacterial small subunit ribosomal RNA", at positions 524 to 776 of the family's 1533-position model. The record is from RNAcentral.
UACGUAGGGUGCGAGCGUUGUCCGGAAUUAUUGGGCGUAAAGGGCUCGUAGGCGGUUUGUCGCGUCGGGAGUGAAAACGCCGGGCUUAACUCGGUGCUUGCUUUCGAUACGGGCAGACUAGAGGCAUGCAGGGGAGAACGGAAUUCCUGGUGUAGCGGUGAAAUGCGCAGAUAUCAGGAGGAACACCGGUGGCGAAGGCGGUUCUCUGGGAAUGUCCUGACGCUGAGGAGCGAAAGUGUGGGGAGCGAACAGG